UGAGCCUGGAGGAUCUAUUGCUCUGUAAAAGCUCCUCUCCCUCUGGGGGAACCUCGUCUGCUUUCAGCGUAGGGACUGCACCGGAUAUUCAUUUCCUGGUGUUUGCUAAAUACCUCCAAUUGGACUUUUAAAUGAUCCCAGUUGUCCUCAGUGUUAUCAUGCCACCUGCCUGUGCUCUUUAAUGUGUCUUCUAGUAUUUUCUGUUAGUGAUUUAUUGUGUAUGUUUGCUUGUUUCCUGUUUCCUUGCCCCCUUAAGGACCAACACAAUUAUCCUGAUAGACGCAGCGGGUAACGUGACCUUCACAGAGCGCACCAUGCCCACCUGUGACACGAACAAAUGGAGCACCAAUUCUUUCCAGUUCAAACUGGAGGUGUGAAGACGUGAUGGAGGAAACCCACUCUGUGCCUUUCUGCAUCCCCAUUCUGCAAACACUCACUUUUGGCUCAUUAUGAAAUGAUUGUUAGCACAAAGACACGUUUACCCACACACAGGUGUUUGGACACUCAUGAGUACAAAUGUUCAUAAUGACAAGCCUAACUUCAUAUCAAUAUGGAAGAUCAUUUGUAAAUCCAUCUCCAUUGUUCCUGUCUUUUAAUGGAAAGAAAUGAUCUGAAUCACUGGGCUAAAGCUGCUGCACAUUGUCAACUGUUAUUGAGCAGUGACCCCUACUGGAGAUUUAAGAUAUUGCACUUCUCAUGUAAUCAUCCCAUAAGGACUGUUGUAGGUAAAAGACGUUUAAACAAGUAGCUCUCACAUAAAAAGGUUAUUUUUACACAUUGGCUAAAUCAUUCUUAUUUUGGUAUGGAGUCAAUAGAGGGUCAAAUGUCUUGUAGCUAUGUAUCACCAUUUCUGUGUGUGAAAACGUUAUGAAUAAUACAUUCUGAUAUCUAUAAAUGUGUGAACUUUAUUUAAACAAAUAGGUUUUCCUUUUUGAAUCUUUAGGAAGAUCUGUAGCUCCGCAUCACAUUUUGUGAACAAAUAAAAACAUGUGUGCAUAAAUCAUUUUGAUACGUGCGAGUGCAUAAAGAACAUGUCCUCAAGGGUUUGAAUUUACAUAUAUGGUUUUACUUAUGGAGGACCGAACAUGACACAAGUAUACAUAAAUACAUGUAUGAAUAA
Trematomus bernacchii (emerald rockcod) is the source of this 1120-nucleotide long non-coding RNA. RefSeq lists it as uncharacterized. The record is from RefSeq and is a predicted model, not a curated record. Lineage: Eukaryota; Metazoa; Chordata; Actinopteri; Perciformes; Nototheniidae. The transcript has 3 exons.